GUGGGGAAUCUUGCGCAAUGGGCGAAAGCCUGACGCAGCCAUGCCGCGUGAAUGAUGAAGGUCUUAGGAUUGUAAAAUUCUUUCACCGGGGACGAUAAUGACGGUACCCGGAGAAGAAGCUCCGGCUAACUUCGUGCCAGCAGCCGCGGUAAUACGAAGGGGGCUAGCGUUGCUCGGAAUUACUGGGCGUAAAGGGCGCGUAGGCGGACAGCUUAGUCAGAGGUGAAAGCCCAGGGCUCAACCUUGGAAUUGCCUUUGAUACUGGCUGUCUUGAGUUUGGGAGAGGUGAGUGGAACUCCGAGUGUAGAGGUGAAAUGCGUAGAUAUUGGGAAGAACACCGGUGGCGAAGGCGACUUGCUGGCCAGCAACUGACGCUGAGGCGCGAAAGCUAGGGGAGCAAACGGGAUUAGAAACCCCUGUAGUCC
RNAcentral lists this ribosomal RNA (425 nucleotides) under uncultured bacterium. Its description in RNAcentral is "partial 16S ribosomal RNA". It matches the Rfam family "Bacterial small subunit ribosomal RNA", at positions 354 to 796 of the family's 1533-position model. The record is from RNAcentral.